RNAcentral lists this long non-coding RNA (3015 nucleotides) under Bemisia tabaci. RNAcentral's name for it is "lncRNA ENSASIAIIG005149". The record is from RNAcentral. Lineage: Eukaryota; Metazoa; Arthropoda; Insecta; Hemiptera; Aleyrodidae.
ACACACAGCAUUUCUACAACCUAGCAUUUCUGGAUGCGUUGCUAUCCUGUUUUGUGGAGAUCACCACAGCAUCUCCAUUGCAACCAAUUGAUUCCACCGAACUUUGGGAGCUUAUAUCCGCGUUCCACUGCAGCAAUUCUCAAUCAUUCAUGGGGCUCAGCGUCACAAGGAACACUUUGAUUCUCCUCAAUCAUCUUUUUCACUUUGCCGUGCGGUGUAAAAGAUGGGAGGAUGUUUGGCUUGUUGAGAGCCGGAUGAUCUGGUUCCCGCUGCUCUUCGCAAGCCGUGAUGUAAUUGUACAGGCCUCAGCUUUCCAGUUGGCCAGCGGUCUGACAAGCUCAAGAGCGGGUGCCGAAUUUAUGUUGACUGCAGUUGAUGGUCUUUGGAGCACGUCUUUAGGUGUUCUUAUGAAUCAUCAAGAAGCGAGUGUUGUAAGAGAGAAUGCAGGCAUGAUCUGCUCCAACAUCAUAAGCCAUGGAACCAAAGAAGCCUAGACCAUGGAGUAUGAAGGAAGCUGGCCAGAAGAUGCUCCAUUAUAAGAUUUGUAAGAAAACCUACUGUCAUUAUGACAACCUGCAGUUGAAAAUUCCUAAUCAAAAUAACAGGUUCUUUUUGUAGAACAUUAUCUUACAUCCUCAGCAGCAGAAGUACUUCGGUUGAAUUAUUCUCUUCCAGGAAAGGAAAAAACCAAAGAUCUGGUUGAGUAAUGAUUUUUACUGCACUAUUUUUUGCUCUUAAAAAAAUUGAUCUCAAUAAAAUAUACUUUGAAAUUAUUAAAGUUUUGUUAAAGGCCAACGCAUUCCAAUGCAUGUGUGAAUACUUUAACUUUACCACAAAUUUUCAAGAGUUUAAGUUAUACUAACAGAGAAUCAGUGAUUUUGUCAUCGAAAUUAAAGCUGUUCUUCUCAUGUUUAUCAUAUUUUAAUAUUUCCUUCAUUAUCUGAAUUUCAGUUCUAUGCUGAAUAGAACACCAAACAGGGUAUGACUGAAAGCACCACAAUGUUCCCUCGUCAAAAUAUCACGAGGAACACAAUUAUAUAUUCGGAACUAUGUAUUAGCUUGAAACGGAAAAAUUAGCAUUUAUAGUCUACAUUGGAAUCGGUCAAUGAGUCACUAAACCAUGAACGAAUUUUGACUUGCGAAUAUAGUUUUCUGAAGGAAAAUGACACGUAUAACACGAUGCGAACAUUAAAAACGCGAGCAAGCAACUCAAUCACCGAGGAAUGCGCAGUUCAAAUCGCUCAACUUAUACGCAAAUUUAAAACGCCCCGGUUUCGCGCCGCACCGAAUGAUGUCAUCCGGCACCAAUCAGAGGCGGGCACGGGUUUCCACAACGUCCGUCAAAUGUCUAUCUACUCUUCGUAUGUGAGAGCAAUACUAAAGUCGAAAUUAUAUCUUUUGAAUUCAAGACUAGAAUCUCAUUCAUAUGUUAGCUGUAAUUAACAAGCAACAACUCCACAUUGAAAUACGUUUUAUUUUAACAAACAUCCAAGGAAAAUGAGAGAAGAUUGCGAUAUGACUACCGCACAACCGCCUCAGUUUCCCGCCAUUCGGGUGCGUUUGAAAUGUCAUGCAGUUUUUGGAUUUUUCAAAAGCGGUUUUCUCCGCGAUUUUGGCUCCAUGAAAAUGCGGAAAAAUCACCACGUUAUCUCCUCACAUAGUACUUUCAGAAUAUUCAAUAAAAUAAACAAGCUUUAGUGACCCAUUUAUACUUCCUGCUCAUGAUACAACCAAAAUUAAUUUAGCCAUGGAAAAAAAUAAAGAUAAUUCAGCUACUAAGAGAAGAUCAUGAUCUCCAAAUAUGUGCAAUUUUUUUUUAAAGCAUGAUUUCGAGGACCUGGAAAACUCAAAAAAUACUUGAAUCUAUCUGGGAAUGAAACAUAUCAGGGAAAAUUAGGAAAAUUUAAUGGCCAUAGCAGGAACAUUCCUCUCUUUUUGCUCUGAGAUUAUACUAUUUUUCUUAACUGGUUGUCUGCUUGACUUGAAAAUAGAAAUCAGACUAAAUGUAGCUAAGUUGAUUUUCGUCCUGAAACCUGAAGGAAAAUCUUGUUUCCCCCCAAGAAAAGUUAGAGAUUAAUGAUCAGAAAUCCCUGGUUUUCAUCCGGGAAUAUUUCCAAGGAAAUUAGAAAGAAAUAAGUUAUUAUCAGGGAAUGGAAAAAAUCAUGAAUUCUAGACACUACAUUUUAAAUAAAACAGCUUAAGGUGUCACUUAAAAACUUUUUGUGCAUAAAAAAAUCUACCAAAAAUUUAAAGAUAAACUGAUAGUUGGAUGGAGUUAAGUUAAACAGUCACAUUACAUGCAGUGUUUCAAAAUCUCAUCGGUUCUAAAUUUUUGGGGAAAAACCAACCGAAAUUAAUGCUUGAAAUUUUGUGAAACUUAACUUCAUGAGAGUAAGAAAAUUUACAACAAAUUUCGAGUGGGAGUGUUGGUUUGUUUCCCUGUACAAAAUUAAAAUGGGAGAUGGGAUUCUGAAACACCACUUGUGAGUGUGACUAAUUUGCUUGAUUAUUCUCUCUACUUAGUCUUUUUUGAAAAACUAAAACGUGAGUGGAGAUUCACAACAUAACACUCAGAUUUAUCCAUUAUAUUUUCACUUUAGCCAUCAAGAUAUAUUCCAAGUUUACAUCUUACUUACAGUCUUUGCUCUUCCUUUCAUGACACUAAGUAAGUAACCAGUUGUUCUGCUUUUUGAUGUGGUAAAAAAAAUUGAACCUUCCGGAAACUUUCUAUCUUCUGAUCGUUUCCCUCGCCGAUGCUCUUUCCUUUUAUUAACAUUUUUGACAAAUGGAAAUUAUGUGGAAAAAUAUUUUAUAUAAAAAAUGUUUCUGUUUUAGGAGCCCUUUCUCUGUUUUCUUUACUCAGUUUACUUCUUAUAUCUCAGUGUUAUUCAUGUACAGUUAUCUUAGUCAAAUCUUACAUGGAUUUCUAAAUGUAUCCAUAAAUCAAAUAUAUAAAAUGCUUAUUGUCGAUAAAAUAGGAAAUUCUGUGUUUUCACUUUAUUGCCUCAUUGCAAG